GAAUUAAGAUCACUGUAGAAAAAGUCAAGAGUGCCAUCCACUGGUGGUUAUUUUUAAGUUACAGAUAGGACCCCAAGAAGGAAAAAAAAACAGUGACCAAUAAAACAGAUCAACCAAUAAACUAUUUUCCUCAAUUCAAACAUCACUGAAGAUCUCUUCGAUUUUACCAUUAGACAUACACCUAAAAUUAACCGACCAUGCUAGUGGAAACUAGUGACAAGAAAAAAACAAAGCAGCAGAUCAUCUGAAAAGCUUCUGUUUGGCUUGGUUAGUAACAGUUCAAUAAUCUGAACAAUCUAACGUUUGCCCAUCCUCUUAGUUUAAAGUGGAACCCACAGGAGGGUAGGAAAAUACCUACUCUGCUUUUCAAGGUUAAUACACUUUCCAAGAAACUUACCAGUAAGAAAACAUAUGAGCAUUCUAUACAACAAAUUAUAAAUUCUUAAUAAGGUAUGGUAGUUAAGAUAUGAACUCCAGAACAAAGGAAA
Long non-coding RNA from Sapajus apella (tufted capuchin), 488 nucleotides. RefSeq lists it as uncharacterized. Lineage: Eukaryota; Metazoa; Chordata; Mammalia; Primates; Cebidae. The record is from RefSeq and is a predicted model, not a curated record. The transcript is spliced from 2 exons.